AACCCAUCCUGUCCAAUCUAAGUCAUAUGACCUUGGGGGGGGUCACAGAUGAAUAGGAACCACACAGAGACUGUCUCCCCAAGCCAAGCUUCAUCAGGGCACCCAGGUCCCAUUCAAAGCUUUCAAGAAGGUUUAUAAAAACCAUUAGACGCUUCUGUACAUGAGUCCUGGAUGGAGCUGAAACAUGCCGGGGAGAGAGCAAAGGAGAAGGGAGAGACAAAGCAGGCUCAGUUCUGCUCACUUCAGAAGCCAGCUCCCCUUUUUGCACCCUCUGCCAUCCAUCCUGCCCAACUAGAACUGAAUAUGAAUUGGGCGCCUUGGGGACCUGCAAAGCCUGUGAGUAUGAUGCGUUGGGGACCGGUUUUGUGGCCAUAAAUUAUGUAACAGCUUCUAUUGCAGCCCAAGCUGGUGACUUCUCAUAUGGAGUAAAUAAAAACAUUAAAUGAUUUUUC
Mastomys coucha (southern multimammate mouse) is the source of this 452-nucleotide long non-coding RNA. RefSeq lists it as uncharacterized. The record is from RefSeq and is a predicted model, not a curated record. The transcript is spliced from 3 exons. NCBI's taxonomy places the organism in Eukaryota, Metazoa, Chordata, Mammalia, Rodentia, Muridae.